AGGUGUCCUAAGAUCAUUUUGGUUAAGGAGAUGAAUUAUAUGAAAACUAUAUCCGCAUGGGUUCUAAGGAUGUUGUUCUACACAUUCGACCUAUCCGAUCGUCGGGUACCAUUGCUAGAUGGUCACUUCGAUUGGUACAAAAAUUUAUUUUUAUGCUACCGACUUAGGUUUGGACCUAUGAAGUCAUACACAUUAGAGUUCAUGAUCUGAUCGGAUGGUUGAUCAAUGAUUAAGAAUCAUUCUAGGGUUAAAUGAUCAAUACGAUUGACAUUUAACCUAGUGCAAGUAUUGCUGGAGGAUCGAUUAACAAUUCGAUUGCUAAUUGGCUUAAUUUGAUUAAGCCAAUGGGCUGAGAUUAAGUUUAAUUGAAUAUGAUUUAAUUAGAUUUAGUUUGGGCUUGAUUGGAUCAAGUCCAAUUGGUUUAUUGGAUAAGUCAAGUGCA
Molecule: long non-coding RNA, 442 nt
Filed under: Elaeis guineensis (African oil palm)
Lineage: Eukaryota; Viridiplantae; Streptophyta; Magnoliopsida; Arecales; Arecaceae
Description: long non-coding RNA (EGUI_LNC055980)
Source: RNAcentral